AAGCCCAUCGGCGUACGAUGGCAACAGACUUCGAUCUCUUAUCCCCGAAAGUUUCCUUUCGCCACCACAUACUCGUCCCGGAGAAGAACUACGAGGAGGAGAUGGUCGGCUUCCCCCUUCUUCUUUCUUCGUCUCCUCGCCCUCGUACUCCUUUUCGGAGGCCUCGGUAGCGACGCUAUUCUUCUCACGCUGUUGCAUCGCCUCUUUCUUUAUGUUUGUUCGAGAAUUCGUUUGUUUGCGCUUCCCCUGCCUGUCUCUGAGCUUUUCCUUCACCGAUGUUGCGGCUAUAGACAUCUCGAUCUAGACGGUCGUCGUUCCAAACGCGACCAUGGAAGGUGAUCGGCGUGGUAUCCCAAAUAUCGGAACCUCACCCUGUAGAGAGAGAUAGGGAAGAGAGAUUUCUUGGCGGUGAAGGGGAUUCAUCGAUACGUCGUAUCCGUACCCCUUUCUGCUCCUCGGCUUGGAUGAGUCUUAUCUCAAUCGGAGAUCUUUUGCUGUAACUGAGUCAUCUGAUAUGCAGUUCCUUUUUUACUGAAAAAUGGCUAAAUAAUGUUCAAUUGGAUACUGAAAGAUGACCAAAUGAUAGGUGCUCUGGGGGAUCACUUUUAAACUGUGGAAUCUGUCUUGAUGGCUAAAUCUAUUGAAACCAAGUAAGCUUUGCAUUUAUGCUUAAGUUUGGAACCAUAUUUUUUAUGGAUUUACAGCUGACAUUCUUUUAAUGUCUUAUAUAAGCUGGAAAAUGAGAAAUAUUUGUCUCCGUAACGAGCUUGAAAUUGUAUCCAAUGGAUGGUUCACCUUCUAGUUGUCAUUAGCCCUAAUUACUACUUAUUGUCAUCUUGUCCUUUAGGGUAGUCCCAAUCAUUUGUAAGUGUCUCAUGCUCCAAAGAUCCAAAUACUCAAUUAAGUGGACAACUCCAUUCUAAGGCA
This is a long non-coding RNA of Musa acuminata AAA Group (dessert banana), 927 nucleotides long. RefSeq lists it as uncharacterized. Lineage: Eukaryota; Viridiplantae; Streptophyta; Magnoliopsida; Zingiberales; Musaceae. The record is from RefSeq and is a predicted model, not a curated record. The transcript has 3 exons.